RNAcentral lists this ribosomal RNA (253 nucleotides) under uncultured bacterium. RNAcentral describes it as "partial 16S ribosomal RNA". It matches the Rfam family "Bacterial small subunit ribosomal RNA", at positions 524 to 776 of the family's 1533-position model. The record is from RNAcentral.
UACGAAGGGGGCUAGCGUUGUUCGGAAUUACUGGGCGUAAAGCGCGCGCAGGCGGUCCUUUAAGUCGGGGGUGAAAGCCCAGAGCUCAACUCUGGAACUGCCUUCGAAACUAGAGGACUUGGGUACGGGAGAGGUGAGUGGAAUUCCGAGUGUAGAGGUGAAAUUCGUAGAUAUUCGGAAGAACACCAGUGGCGAAGGCGGCUCACUGGCCCGUUACCGACGCUCAGGCGCGAAAGCGUGGGUAUCAAACAGG